AGCACAACAGCUCACUGUACGAAGCGCGGGAGCAACCCGAAGGUUCAACGAAUAGCGCGCAGUCAGGGAAAAACACGCCGAAUAGAACUAACCGGACUUCGUUGAUCCAAAGUGAGGUGAGCACUGUGAUUGGAACUGACCAACGAUCACCGUGCUCACCUCCGGAGGCAUCGGAACAGCCUCGGAUCGCCAGAACAACGCGCGCAAACACCAACCAGCAGCCAAAAAGGUUCAAACGGAGCAACACCGCCGAAAUAGCGGAACAGAGUCUCCCCAACAAAAUAUAAGGUGAGCACGAUGAUCAGAAAUUUGCCAUGAUCAUCGUGCUCCCUUACGGAGAGAUCGGGGAGCCUCGGAUAGCUUAGAACAGUAAACCCACCAAGAAAAGCCCUAUUUCAGGCUUGGCGGGAGCAGGCUUGCUCCGGCCGGCUUCCGGCGGCACGGGAAGGUGCGCGCGGGCCAGAAGUGGGUGCAGAGGAGGGGGAAGGAGCAAGGUGCUCACCACAGAUGGCAGCGAGGAGCGGCGGCGGCGACGGUGGAGCAAGCCAAGCCCCGCACGAGUUAAGCUUGAGUACCACGGCUGCUGCGACCAAGGUGGCGGCCAGGGCAGGUCAGGGACGACGGCGGGGGGGGUGCCCAGAGGCCGGAGGAGUGCCUCGGGUGCGGCCCCGAGCGGUGGCGGCGCGAGGAGGGAGCCGCGAUCAAGGGCGGCGGCGGCGGCCACUGGCAACGCCGGCGGCGGCGCACGAGGGGGUCUCCGGGGCUCCGAGUGAGGUGGCCUGGAUGGUCCAGCACCCGGCAGCGCGGGGAAGAAGCCGCAGGCUUGCCUCUACCUGGGCUCGGCCUGGAAGGCUGUAGGCAACUAUAGCGCGGCGCUCGGAGGCGGCUGCGGUUGGCGGGGAGGGACGCCGAGGGGUCGACGCCAACAAGGUGCUUGGAGGCAAUGUAGCCUCAGCCUGGCUCUAACCCGAGAGAAAGAGAAAGAGGGAGGGAGAUGGAGAAAGUGGAAGGUAGGAGAUGGUGGCUGUGGCGGUGGCUACCAGCCGGGGCUCGGUCGGCGGCGGCCGGCCCAUGCGCGGCGGGGCAGAGGAACAGAGGUGAAGGUGGCAGGGUACGCUAGGGCAGCUGGGGGCUCAACUAGGGCUCGGAUCCCAAGAAAAACCCUAGAAAACAUUAUAUAUAUAAGCUGGCUAAAAUGCAAAUAAGUCCUCCGAAGAUGGUUAAUUUCGACCAAGCCCUCUACAGCACGAGUAAAACGCGCGAAUACCCCUCCACAUGCGAUUUCACGCGAAACGGUACAUAAAAUAUCGCGUUUCGCAAAAAUACCGUUUUGCGAUCAUCGACCCCUCCCUGAUCAACACGUGAUCUCUGCAGAUCCGUCCGUUAGAUUUGCGAACGGAUCACACUAGUGCGAUCAGCACGACGGAGACAAGAAAGCUACGAUUUCGUUUGACCUCGAUCGCUCUCGGAUUCACGACGAAAUCCGUUCCAACUCUCCAACGGAAGAAACUACGCACAAAUACAUAUAAAACAUAUUUUUUUGGAUUUUCUCGAAAUCCGUGCGUCCAACUCAAAAUCCGUCAGCGCCAGUGGUUCCAAAAUAGCUGAACUGAUCGAAACGAGCUAUUGGAUCACUAUGAACGGAGUCCGAUACCCGCCAGAAGCCAACUUCCCACCAUGACUUCUCCGGAAAACCGAGUUACUAUUUACUUUAAGUGAAACUUGGAAAUUACGUAGAAUAUCCGUUUUAACUCGUUUUUGCCCGAAACUUGACAAGUGCUUUUGUAAUUAAAUUACACACAAAAACAUCGUCAACUGAGAGUUUAGCUACACUGCCAAAAUCUCGGUCCUUACACUAUGUAGUGGGUCUGUGCGCGACCGCGGGGUGUUUACAAAGGUGUUUUAAAACAAAAAUUUAUACGUUUUUUGCUAAUCUUCCUAAAAAGGAUUUUCAAAAAGAGCCCCAAGGCGCGACAGUAUCAGAGCUUCAAGAUAGGCACUGUAAGGAUGACCAUGUGAAUGGACUAAUCUGAAGAUAGCGCAAGAAUGAAGGGAAAAAAAAAAAGAAUUAAUGGGAGGUUGCCACUAGAUCUUGCAAACGAGCGGGUUGGGUAACCUACGAGCGGGUCAUUGUAUUCGCGGGUAAUUUGUGGAUACCCGCGGGUUUGGAUAGAGAUUGCCGGGUCUAGUUGCCUCGUUGACAUAGGAACUGAGAAUUUAUUACAUUUAAUAGAUCCCAAAUUUUAUGAUAUAAAAUUAAUAAAGUUUUCAUGAUUAAAGAGUUAAUAUCAUCAAAAAAUUAUAUAUUUUUUUAAUUAAAAAAAAGUAUAUGCGGAUACCAAUAGGUGCCCAUGGAUUGUAUAAAAUACCUAUAAUCUAACGAUUAUCCAUCCGUUUUAUCCACAGUUUUUUGGAUAAGAAAAAUUAGUAUCUAUACCCGUAAAUUUGCAGGUAACUUACGAAUAUCCGCAUCUAUGGUAUCGUUUGGUUCGGGAAUAAACAAAAAUUGGCUAUUCUAAUGAUAGGUAUAAAUUGAGGUAUAAGCGGGGAUUAGAUCAAUUUUGCGUUUGGAUGAAAAUUGGGUUAUUCCUAAGAAUAAAAAAAUAGUAUUUGAUUAGGUAAGAUGGAAUAAGAAGGAUAAUGGGUUUUUAUAAAUAAAAAAAAUAAUAUUACCCUUUUAUUAUAUUUUAAUUUGAAUUUUUAAAUUUAUAUUUUUAAAUUUAAAAUUUUAACUUUGAAAUUUCAAAAUUUGAAAUUAAAUUUUAAAAUUUAAAAUCUCAAAUUUUAAAUUCAAAAUUUUAAAUUUUAAAUUUCAAACCUCAAUUUUAAAUUCAAAAUUUUAAAUUUUAAAUUUCAAACUUUAAAUUUAAGAUUAAAUUUAAAUUUGAAAAAUAUAAAAUAUCAAAUUUUAAAUUUCAAAAAUUUAAAAUAUCAAAAUUNUGAACUUACCCUGUGUAAGUCUGUUGGAAAUUGGGUUAUGUCAAGUACUUUAACCUUAGCUGGACAUAGUAGUACAGUUACUUUAUGUCUUUGGUUAAGUGAACUUAUUGAUGAACAUACUAGAAAGUUGACAUCUAAAGUGAGCCUAGCGAUGAAUAACCUAGAAGUUGACAUCAUGAUUGGUUAGCAACAUAAUGAAUGACAUUAUGUCUAUUUCUUGCUAAUGAAAAAGGGAAAUUAUAUGAUAUCAUCUGUACUUUCAGUAAAGUGAAUUAUCUUGCAUACUAUCUGUUAUAUGUUUGGUUAAAUUGUCAAGUAAUAUGAUUGAUGGAAUCUAUCAUGAUAACUGAUACCUGCAAUCUAUUGAUGUAUAUUUAUUGUUGAGCAAAUAGCAUGAGUAGUCUACUUUCAUAUCUGUUGCAUGUAAUUGCUUAUUGUAUUAUCUGCAUUUACUUGGUUAUUUAUUACUGUCUACUCAUGCCAUAGUUGACCUAGUGGUGUACUUCGCCACUCUCGGCGGCUUACCCACUGGGAACUAUUGUUUAAUAGUUCUCACGCCCUCNGGCAGGGGAACAGAGGUGAAGGUGGCAGGGUGCGGCUAGGGUAGUUGGGGGCUCAAUUGAUCCCAAGAAAAACCCUAGAAAACAUUAUAUAUAGGCUGGCUAAAAUGCGAAUAAGUCCUUCGAAGAUGGUUAAUUUUGACCAAGCCCUCUACAGCGCGAGUAAAACGCGCGAAUAUCCCUCCACAUGCGAUUUCAGGCGAAACGAUACAUAAAAUGUCGCGUUUGCAAAAAUACUGUUUUGCGAUCACCGACCUCUCCUCGAUCAACGAGCAAUCUCCGUAGAUCCGUCCGUUAGAUUUACGAACGGAUCACACCAGUGCGAUUAGCACGAUGGAGACAAGAAAGCUACAAUUUUGUUUCACCUCGAUCGCUCUCGGAUUCACGAUGAAAUCCGUUCCAACUCUCCAACGGAAGAAACUAUGCACAAAUACAUAUAAAACAUGUAUUUUUGGAUUUUCUCGAAAUCCGUGUAAUAUACUGAAUCUGGCCUAUUGACAAGUUCAAGGGUUGCAAUGGCUAUUGGAACUGAGCUACGACGUUUGAUAGACCUUAGAAAGGUUUUGACACGUUACUGAAGUAAGAANUUUUUUGUUCGAUUUUGGUAUGGUUAGGUGCGAGCACUAUAGGAGGAGGUGCAAGAUCCGGGCGCCGUGUUGCGAUGAGAUCUACCACUGUCGCCAUUGCCACAACGAGGCCACGGUAUGAGAUCCCCGAUAGAUCUCUUUUCCCUUCUUCCUUUUUAUCUCCGAUUAGGGCUUAUGAAUUGUUCGUUCCGUGAUAUGUUAGCGAGGAAUUACGGUUAUGUCGAUCUCGUAUUUUUGAGCUAUUAUUUGAUCUAAUUUGUUUUAUUUAGGGCACCAAUUUUGGGUUUUGUGUUUUGCGCACCUUUGAAAUUUGUGACACUGUGUGCUGAAAAGCAGCAGAAGCUCUAAUCUGAAGCUUUUGCAGCAGAAGCUGCUGUAUGGAUUUAGUCCCUGGUUGGCCCCCCUUCUGCUUCAGCUUUUGUCAAACAAAAGCUAGUCUGGUGGUUUUUCUCUGGUAGAGAGCUAAAAAUGAGGUUUUUAUCCCCAAAAGUAGAAUUCUCUGAAUUAGUUAAAUUUUCUGAGGAUUUUGGAGUUGCGGAGCUCAGUUUUGGUAGGUGACAAAGAAAUGACAUAAAGACUACUCAGAACCUUUGUUUAUAAAGACCAGGUUUCAUAAUGCGGCCCAAAAGUACUCAUCUAGGCUUUCUUUCCUUGAUGCUUUUCAAAGGCGGUGGGAAAUGCUCUUGGAGAAGCAUUCGGUAUAUGCGUCUCCAGCGGUGAUUCCCGCCAUCAUUUCAAAGUGUCAGAGAAGGAAAGAUCUAAAGCACUUUUGGAUUUUUUGAACCCUCGAGAUCAUCAAAGUAGGUGUGUUUGGGCAACACAUUCCUAGGAUGGUUCUAAAUGAAGAGCUACUAUUACUUAACACUGUUUCCCAUACAAAUAACUGACUACUUGUAUAAAGAAAUGUUUUUCUGAAAGAGCCCUCUAAGAGACUUGUUACUAGGUAUGAUAUAGGAGCAAAUGCAUUUCUCAUACAAAUAACUGACUGCUGAUAUAAUUAUAAAGAAAUGUGUUUCUGAAAGAGCCCUCUAAGAGACUUGUUACUAAGUAUGAUAUAGGAGCAAAUGCCUUUCAUUGAUUGUCACAUGGCAAAAAUGAGACCAGUCUUACAAAAAUCAUUUUAACCGACCUUUGUUAUUCAUGUGAAAAGUUGAGACCAACUCCAUCUUGAAUCGGUGUUAUAUAUAUAUAUAUAUAUAUAUAGAGUCCGGCUGGGAUAUUACCAAUAGUACCAAGGACUUGGUGCUAUCGAGUUUUCCACCGUUAGAUUUAACCAUUUGAUUAUUUUUCCCGUUAGAUUAUACUAUUCAACCAACCACCCACUCAACCCUAAGGGGCCCACAUCAUCCUAACCGCACAUUUUUCAAUCCAAGGGCUAAAAAAUUAAUAGCACCAAUAGCUUGGUGCUAUUAAUAGCAUUCCAGCCUAGUUCUAUAUAUAUGUAUAUAUGUAUAUAUAUAUAUGUAUAUAUGUAUAUAUAUAUAUGUAUAUAUAUAUAUAUAUGUAUAUAUAUAUAUAUGAGAGAGAGGGAGAGUUGAGCUGGAUACUAUCGGUAGCAAAUGAGCUCCAUUGCUAUCGAAUUGUUUUCGAUAAUGGAGCCUCCAAAUCGGCGAUCAACANUUCUUAUUUCCUGUUUUAAGGUUUGGAUUGUAUAAGUCUAAACUUAUAAGUCUUGCUCUGAUUACCUAGUUGAAUUUUAUGCUUUUACUAUAUGGUUUGUAGACGCCUUGUGUAUACUUGAGUUGUGGUGUACACGGCGGGUCUGUGCACGCGACCGGAUAUGCUUCCGCUGGUACCCGGGCGUGACAAUCCGUGUGUCAAACUCAAAAUCCGUCAGCGCCAGCGGUUCCAAAAUAGCUGAACCAAUCGAAACGAGCUAUUGGAUCGCUAUGAACGGAGUCCAAUAUGUGCCAGAAGCCAACUUCCCUCCGUGACUUCUCCGGAAAAUCGAGUUACUAUUCACUUUAAGUGAAACUUGGAAAUCACGUAGAAUCUCCGUUUUAACUCGUUUUCGUCCGAAACUUGACGAGUGCUUUUGUAAUUAAAUUACACACAAAAACAUCGUCAACUGAGAGUUUAACUACACUGCCAAAAUCUCGGUCCUUACACUUAUACCCUCAGUACACAAACUCCUCUUGACCCAGUUCCGUAAAGGUCACCACCUAGCUCUCACAAUCAAUUGUAGCAUAGUACAUAGAGAGCCAGUCCAUUCCCAACACUAGUUCAUACUUGACUAUUCGAUUCAAUAGUAGCAAAUUUGCCAGUAUGAAAUAUCCAAUUCCCUAUAUUGAUAGCGUAGUCACGACAUACGUUCUUAGCACAAAAUACAUGCUCGGAUACUUGCACCCAUCUAGUGUGCUCAGUGUAAGGACCAAUGAAGACGAUCUACUGCGAGGAUUCAGUAAAGGUUGAGUCAUGGAUUCGGUAAAUCAUCCGGUACUCAUAUUUUUAUAGUGGAUUAUUUUGUGUGAUCGGUCCUGUGGGUCUUUUACUCCUCUUGGAGUUUUUCCACGUAAAAUCUCGGUGUGUUGUCUUUUAUUUUCUGCAUUUAUUUUCUAUUGCAUCGAGUUGGUUGAUUUAUCAUUUACACCUAUUCGCCCCCCUCUGGGUGUGAUUAUACCUUUUAGAUCCUUAUAAUUUACAGCAGUGAAAAGCUCUGAAACAAAAACAAACAAUCAAUGGGGAUUAGAACUAUUAAACAAUAGUUCUCAAUGGAUAAGCCGCCAAGAAAAGCGAAUUACACCAUUAGGUCAACAGAGGCAAUAUGGUAAAUAACUAAAAAAGAAACUAUUAUCAUUGCUGAAUUGAAAUGUUCUAAUACUAUCAUGCCUCUAUAUGACUAUGCCUAUCAACAAACAUGCAUGUGUGUAAUGACCAAUAAGUAUGCUCAACUACUAUAUAUGCAUCAAUUACUUGUGAUGUACACAACUACUAUGCAACAAUGCCACAAUGUCAAUUCCCUUGAAUGUAGUUCUACUACUAUCAUAUGGGCUAGUAACCAACUAAUGAAGGUCGUUCUACUGUUAUCAUAUGUCAAGUAAUGCAAGGUUCACAUCUAGGUCCAUCAUCACGAAUGCAUCAAAUUGUAACAUACAAUGUCAUAUUCAAUUUUCUUAUACCCAAAUCAUCGAGGUCUUACACCAGGUAAUGUCCCGGCUUAUGCCAUACAUAGUGGCUCCGUGGUAGUCAACAAUCCCACUUUAGAAAUGAGCUUUCCCCAUGGCAUCCCACUUCGGCGUUCAAUCCCAUACGGUGAUUAGUCGUCGCAAAGGCCAUACUCGAAGUGCCGGCUUAUAGGGAGUGGCCCUCAUAAGCAUAUGCGAAUGAGCACAAGGGCAAGCAAGCGUAGUCAUAAGCGUAUAGAACCUCAUUCAUCAUAUCUAAACAUGGACUUAGAACAUCACUCAUCAUGUCUAAAACAUGGAAUUAGAACAUCACUCAUCAUGUUUAAAACAUGGAUUUCCAUCAAACGACCAAAUGGUCCAAUACAUUGUUAUAAUGUCGUAUCUUGUCAAAUUACUAAGUUAGGCAUAUUGCAGUUAGGCAUUCCAACAUGUCUCUAACAUGCAAGGCGUCACCUUCCUUAUAACUAUACUAAGUAUGCGUAAUUUGCCAUUCAUGUUCUACUAAUCAUGUAAGGUUACAAAUGUGUAACAUCUCACAAUAAUAUACAUGAGGGUUAAUUUAAUUAUGCCAUUGACAAUAUUACAUGUCUCUGCAUGCAUGGUCUUAACCAUGAAUUCCUCUACUACAUAGAGGAUAAAAUUUUUCAUGCAAAAUGUAUUCGAACUAUAUGCCAAAAAUUCAAUGUUGUGUCGAAUUGCAUGUUAAAUCAUCUAAUAAGCUCAAAAAUAAGAUAGGAGACAUAGAGGGAAUUUACCUAUUUCGGUGAGGUCAAACCUACCGGAUAACUGUCGAAAGCUCAAUCAUUUUGAAAACAAAGUUACCCUCUAAACUUCUUGCACCCUCAUAAAAAUUUUCAAAGGGUUACAAGUUUCAAAAAUUUACCACGAAAUUCAUCAAAAAUCAAAUAGGUAAAAAUUACCUUUGAUCAAGUAAAGCUUGCCCAAGGUCCAAACCAAAGUAAUGGGGCUUCAAAUCCAAUCUAAAAGUGUGAUCAACACUCAUCCAUUUCAUCCCAAAAGCUCCAAAUAGGAAAACCCGAAAAUAAAUCUAAGUUUCCACCAAACUAGGUUUUCUACUAAAAAUUCUUGCAAAACUUACAAAUAGAGGAUGUAAGAUGGUUACUAACCUCAAAGAGAGUUGCAAAUCAAGCUAUGAGGUGCUAGGGUUGAAGUCCAAACAUCAAACAAGAUCCCUCCUUCAAUUCCAAACUCCCUUCCAAGUCCUAGAUACAUGUGUUAGUUGUAUGCCCAAGAAGCCUAUUAGGCUGACACAUUUUAUUUUCUAUGGGACAUAUUUUUGUGCUUAAUCUUUGUUAUAUAUAAUUUGGACCUUUUAUUACAUUCAUGUUUAAUGUAUCCGUGAAUCAUCCUUUAAUUAAUAAGAUGAUAAUAUGUAUUCUCAAGAGUUGAGAAUUUGAGAUACAUAUUAUUGGUGAUUAAUUCCUAAAUGCUCUCAAUCGGAGGAUCAUCAUGGGAACGAUGAUUGAUCCGGUAAGAUUGAUGUGUGUGCCUAUUCCCUUUUGGGAUGACGAAUCUCGAGUCAUCAGUGUGGGGACACUGGAGCGAACAUGCAGGUGGUUGUUGGAGAACAAGAGUAUUGAGCGUGACCAACUACGAACGGUUACAUAGAUGUCUACUCAUUUAUCAGUAACUGGCUCGAUGUUGUAGUGGUACAACUGAUGCUUAGACCUUCGACACCACAGCCAUUCGAUAUGAGGCUACUGUAGUUUGACUAUGCAGCAAACUCUAAUCCUAGCUAUGGGUCUUAGUAGUAUAUGUUAGCUGCAGUUAGUUCAUAUCAGGAAUAGGUGUGUGCCUACAGGGGAUCUAUCGCUCUCGGUAGAGAGAGAAUUAGUUCUAUGCUAUUUGUAAGGCAAAGCUCAGAAAUUCUCAGCCGGGGUAAUAUGGUGUAUGAAAAGAUGUUUCCAAGAGUGACCAUAAGAGCUUCUCUCCUAUCAAAUUUGUCAUAUGACGGGUGAUGGGGUUUGACGAGUAUUCUAUGACCUCUCAGUCAGGACUAUGCGAUAGAAGGAUUGUAUUAUAUGGUAACUGCACCUAGAGGUUCAGUCCGAUAUUCACUUCUGACUGGAUUGCCACUACAUGCUGUUAGGCGUCACUGGUGGAUUGUCGAAACUAAUAGAAAUAAUGAUAAAUAAUUAAUUAUUCUAUAAGGGUGGAAUCAAAAGAGUUUAAGCUAACAAAAGAAGUUUUGAUGAUGAUGUAGACGGGGAUUGCAUCAUAUCUCACUACCAGACAAAAUUAAACAUAUUAGGUCACACAUAUAAGAAAUCAUGCAUGAUCGAUAUUUAGAAGACGAUAAAAGAAGUUUAUCGGAUAGUUUAAUUGCAAUUAUAAUAAAGUUAAAUACUAAAGUUUACUAAUGUAUUAGUAAAAGUUUACUAAUUUAUUAGUAAAAUGACUAAUUUACAAUUGUUGUAAAUUAAAGGCAUUUAUGUGUAAAAGUUGCAUGGUGUAUUUACUAAUCAUUAGUAAAUAAUAUGAGGACUUAUGUGUAAAUGUUACACACGAAUCGUAUUAAGAUUAGGAUUCGGUUAAUAUUAUAACCGACUUGAGGGUUAAUGGAUAAUCAAACUAGGAUUUUGAUUAGGAUUAUGAUUAGGUUUAGGAUUUUCUCAUUAUAAAUAUAUAUCAUAUAGCAUAUUAAAAUUAAUUAAUACAAGAGAAAUAGAAAACCCUAGCCGUCAAUCCUCUCACUUUUCUUCUAGUCCUCCACAAUUAAUCCAUCGGUUUCGAUCUUCAAAAGGGUUGCUUGCAUAUCUAGAAGAUUGAUUCAUCUUCUUCAAAUCGACAUUAGAGUUAAUUCGUGAUCGGAUCACGGAUUGAAGCGGUCGUCUAAUUCGAUCAAGGGCGUGAUUUCGUGUGGACACAAGUAGAGGCCGGGCGUGUGCGCUGCUAAGCGAGGACGAACAAUUUUUAACAAUGAUUAUCGACUUCGCCGUGAUCUCGACCCACACAAGGUGAAAAACUAGAUCCUAUUUGAUUAGAUCAAUUAAAUCAAUUAUUAAUGAUCUAAAGCGAGAAACGAGGUAAUCUUUGGUUUUAAAAAAUUUUAAUUAUGUUAUUUCUUCCACUGCGGUACACAUGAUUUUCUUACAAUGUAUCAGAGCCACCCUCAUCAUUUGUUUUGGAUUUAAUAUCUUUUUUGAAGUUAAUUGGGUUUUUCGGAACAUUCAAAAUCACAAGAAUGAGGAUUGUUUUUGAGCAAUUUUUUUUAUUGUUUCGAAAUGUUAAUUAAAACCAACGCACGAUGCACCAUUGACACGGCCGCGACAUUUGGCAUGCGAGCUAGACGGUUGUAAAGAUUGCAUGAAACCGUAAGUAGCCCAUGCAUUUCUUGGUCAUCUCGAUGACAUGCAUGCACAUGUCAAUUUAAUGCCUUACACCUCAUAUAAUUAACUCGAGUGGUGGCCAUGGAUGACAAAUUAGUGUAUGGCAUCACUAAUUAAUUAGUUGGGCAUUUGAUUGCAUGUAAUGUGAGGCAUAGUUGCAUGGACGAAACGCACAUGUUGCAAGGUCUGCGUGCACCAUGCGAGCACGUAGUUCAUGCGGUGCUUGUGUGCGACGCAGCUAGGAUGCGGCUAUGUCAUGCGGUUGCAUCUUGAAUCGCAAUUUAAAUUAAUUUUAAAUUAUAUAAUUUAAUAUAUAAGAUGUAUUAAAUUCUUUUAAUAAUUGUAAGAAUGAAUUGUGAUUUUUGAAAGAUUUGUUUUUAAAUUAAUCCAAAAUUCAAUUAAUUAUAAUUCGAAUUAGAGAAUUUAAUAUUGGAUGCAGGUGAUGUAUAUGAGGUGAUAAUCAUGGAUAGCGACCUUGUGAUGUACAUGUAUCAUGUGAUGAUGUGAAUUGGUGUAAUUUAAUAUGGACCCAGUGUUAGAAUUUUUUUUCGGUGCUCCGUGUACUAAUUCAAUUAUGUAAUUUGGAGACCUGCGUGUCUCAUAAAUUUUAUGAGUUGUAAAGUUAUUAUUGCAAAAUAAAUAAGGGAAAAGGGUAGUUUAGGUUCCAUAAGGAUCCGUUGCAUUCAAGAGUUGAUGCGGUGCGGGUCAAGUUUGGACCAUAUGCUGAUCACGGGAGAAGACAAGAGUUGAUUAACUCCAAUCCGAUUAAAACACAAAAUAAAAAAGUUUUUUUUGUGUGUAAUAUCCUUAUGACCCGAUUCCGGCCUAGUGGCUCAAGCCCGAAUCAAAAUAAAAUCUAUGAUCAUCACCUGUAGUUAUUUUUAUAUGUGAUGUAUCUAUGCAUAUGAUGCGAUGGUUUGCAUGAGAUGUAAAUUAAUAACAAACUAAAAUUGACACUACAACAAAACUAACUUUUAGCGGUGAUUAUUUUCUUAAAUCCCGACAAUUACAAUUGCCGCUAAAUAGUUUAGUGACAAAUGUAGUAAUUGCCACUAAUGGUGGGGUCGGUAAAAGUUAUUACUGCAUUUGUUUGAACGGUUGGUAAAAGACUAAAAAAAUGCCGCUAAAUCCUACCUAAUAACAACAAUUAUAAAUGUCAUUAUAAUUAAUUAUAAUUGCCACUAAAAGUAUACUAAAUAAAUACUAAAUAAAACUUAUAGCGGCAAUUGCAAUAUAUACUAAAACGCUUGAUCCACAAUUAAAUAUUCCAAUAAAUUGAAAUUAAAAAACAUUGAUUACCAAAGAGCAAUCAUGAUUUGCGACAAAUCACAGUUUUAAUAUUAAAAAUAAAUUUCAUACAUGAGUUUCAACUACAAAAAAUUUCAAAUUCUAAGUGCUCAAGCCAUUAUUGUUUCACUUCGAAAGCUGUAGAUUUGACGUAGCUUUGGCUGUAGAUUUGACAUAACUAAGCGAUAUCCUGCAAAAAAUAAAACAAACAAAAAAAUGCAAUUAAACAAACAAACAAUUGUUUUGUAGGCAAAAAAUAAUUUUAUUAGGUACUGAUCUCCAAACAGUGUAAUAGAAAAAUGAAAGGUUAUUGAAACAGAUAUAAAUUGUAAAACUUUUUAUAGGGGAAAAAAUGCUCGCUGAGUCUUCGAGGAAGGUAAGUAUCAAUCACUUCAGGGAUGUUAGCCGUAAAAUAUGUUCUUACCUGAAAAUUAUGUACUUAUCUGAUUAUAAUAAAUUACAAAACAACUUAUUACUUUUCCAAUUGUUGGAUAAGUAAUAACAUUUUAUCCUGCUAACUAACUCAAUCCACCCAAACAAGUUCCUCAUUUGUUAAUUCAAUUUCCAUUUAUACGUGUCUGCCACCAUGAAUGACGCACCUCGCACGGUCGAUGGAUUUUCGGCCGUGAGGUAGUAUUCAUGAUUCAGAUGAGUAUUUAUAUGUAUGUGUGGGUAUCAGGUAUUGCGAGUCCAUGACUUCCAAUAGAUGCAAGCAUCUAUUGUUAAUUACCCCCUGUAGAUUUGGGUACUUUCGAUUAGGAGACUUUUAUAGAUGGGAUGAGAUGGAUCGUAUCUCGGUUUAUUGAAUCAUAAGUAUAUGUAUUAGGAUUCAAUUGAAUUUGAGGUUGAUUAGGCCCUAAGUAUAUGUGUUAAGACCUAAUCGAUAUUAAACUCUAUGUAUUAGAGUCUAAUUGGUUCAUGAGAUAUGGGUAUGAGAUCUGGGUAUUCGUUCAUGGGAUUUGGGUAUUGGUUUAUGAGAUUUGGGUAUUGGUUCAUGGGAUAUGGGUAUUAGGUUGCAUGUAUGGUUCAUGGAAUUUGGUACAUGAGGUUUGGUGUAUGGUUUAUGGAGUUUGGUCCAUGAGGUUUAGUUGUGGUUCAUGGGAUUUGGUCCAUGAGGUUUGAUUAUGGUUCAUGGAAUUUAGUCCAUGAGAUUUGGUUGGUUCAUGGGAUUUGGUCCAUGAGAUUUGGUUUAUGGUUCAUGGGAUUUGGUCCAUGAGGUUUGAUUAUGGUUCAUGAGAUUUGGUCCAUAAGGUUUAGUUGGUUCAUGGGAUUUGGUCCAUGAGAUUUGCAUAUGGUUCAUGGGAUUUGGUCCAUGAUAUUUGCAUAUGGUUCAUGGGAUUUGGUCUAUGAGAUUUGGUUUUGGUUCAUGAGAUUUGGUCCAUGAGGUUUGAUUAUGGUUCAUGGGAUUUGGUCCAUGAGAUUUGAUUUUGGUUCAUAGGAUUUGGUCCAUGAGGUUUGGUUUUGGUUCAUGGGAUUUGGUCCAUGAGAUUUGGUUUAUGGUUCAUGGGAUUUGGUCCAUGAGGUUUGGUUUUGAUUCAUGGGAUUUGGUCCAUGAGGUUUGGUUUUGGUUCAUGGAAUUUGGUCCAUGAGAUUUGGUUUUGGUUCAUGGGAUUUGAUCCAUGAGGUUUGAUUUUGGCUCAUGGAAUUUGGUCCAUGAGGUUUGGUUUUGGCUCAUGGGAUUUGGUCCAUGAGGUUUGAUUUUGGUUCAUGGGAUAUGGUCCAUGAGGUUUAGUUGUGGCUCAUGGGAUUUGGUCCAUGAGGUUUGGUUGUGGUUCAUGGGAUUUGGUUCAUGAGGUUUGGUUUUGGCUCAUGGGAUUUGGUCCAUGAGGUUUGGUUUUGGCUCAUGGAAUUUGGUCCAUGAGGUUUGGUUUGGGUUCAUGGGAUUUGGUCCAAGAGAUUUGGUUGGUUCAUGGAAUUUGGUCCAUGAGGUUUAGUUGUGGCUCAUGGGAUUUGGUCCAUGAGGUUUGGUUUUGGUUCAUGGAAUUUGGUCCAUGAGAUUUGGUUUGUUCAUGGGAUUUGGUCCAUGAGAUUUGUUUGGUUCAUGGGAUUUGGUCCAUGAGAUUUGGUUUAUGGUUCAGGGGAUUUGGUCCAUGAGGUUUGGUUUAUGGUUCAUGGGAUUUGGUCCAUGAGGUUUGGUUUUGGUUCAUGGCAUUUGGUCAAUGAGGUUUGGUUUUGGUUCAUGGGAUUUGGUCCAUGAGGUUUGGUUUUGUCUCAUAGGAUUUGAUCCAUGAGGUUUGGUUUUGGUUCAUGGCAUUUGGUCCAUGAGGUUUGGUUUGGUAUGGUUUGGAUUUGAUUCUUGUUUGUGUCCUUCAUGUGGACUUAGUUUGGGUUAGGUUUGGGUUUGAUUUGUGGACUUGGUUUGGUUUGGAUUUGGGUUUAUUUGGGUUCAAGUUUGGAUUUAUUUGUAGGUUUAUUUGUGGACUUGGUUUGGUUUGGAUUUGGGUUUAUUUGCGUUCAAGUUUGGGUUUAUUUGGACUUGGUUUGGGUUAGGUUCGUAUGUGAACUUGGUUUAGGUUAGGUUUGGGUGUGGACUUGAUUUGGUUUUGGGUUCGGGUUUAUUUAUGGAAUGGGUUUGGGUUCUUUAUGUGGACUUGGUUUGGGUUAGGUUUGGGUUUGAUUUGAUUUGGAUUUAUUUGUGGACUGUAUUUGGUUUGGGUUUGGGUCCGAUUUGGGUUUUGGUUUGGAUGUUUAUUUAGACUUGAUUUGGUUAUGUUUGGCUUUGUAUGUGGGCUUGGUUUGGUUUGGGUCUAUUUGGGUUUUGGGUUGGCGGUUUAUUUGGACUUGGUUUGGUUAGGUUUGGCUUUGUAUGUGGACUUGGUUUGGUUUGGGUUUAUUUGGGUUUUGGGUUCGAGUUUGGGUUUGAACUUGACUUGAUUUAGGUUUGUAGGUGAACUUGAUUUGCAAUUUGAUUUGUGGUCCGUAUGUGAACUUGAUUUGCAAUUUGGGUUCGCAUAUGAACUUAAUUUGCAGUUUGAGUUCGUGUGUAAACUUGAUUUGCAAUUUGAUUUGGGGUCCGAAGAAAUCCCUUUUUGAUUUUGCAAUUAGAUUUGGGGUCCGAAGAAAUCCCCUAUUGAUUUUGCAAUUGAAUUUGGGGUCCGAAGAAAUCCCCGUUUGAUUUGAAUUUGAAUUUGGGGUCCGAAGAAAUUCCCGUUUUGAUUUUCCAAUUUGAUUUGGAUUCGAAGUCCGAAGAAAUCCCCGUUUGAUUUGAAUUUGAAUUUGGGGUCCGAAAAAAUCCCCUAUUGAUUCUGAUUUGGGGUCCAAAGAAAUUCCCGUUUUGAUUCCAAUUUGGAUUUGAUUUUCAAAUUUGAUUUGGGGUCCAAAGAAAUCUCCGUUUGAUUCUCCAAUUGGAUUUGAUUUGGGGUCCGAAGAAAUUUCCUUUUGAUUUGCCAUUUGGGGUCCGAGGAAAUCCCCGUUUAGUUCUAAUUUGGGAUCCGAAGAAACAGGGAUCUUUGAUUCCCCUCCCCUCUUCUGGCGAUACUUCCUCGGCGAUGUUGUAGAUGUCGUCGGCGAAGUUGUUGACGGUGGCACGGAUCUGUUCGGCCAGCAAAUUUGAUUUGACAUUUUCAAAGAAAUAUUGAAGGGUCCUAAGAAAUGGGGAAUCAAAGAUUCCCCUCCCUUCUUCUUUCGAAAAGAUCAAAACGGCGAUUGUAGAUGUCGUCGACGGAGUUGUUAACAGUGGCAUGGAUUUGUUCGGCCGGCAAAUUUAGGUCGAUAUUUAUCAAAGAAAUGUUGAAGGGUCCGAAGAAACAGGGAAUCAAAGAUCCUCCUCCCCUCUUCUUUCGAAAGUAUCAAACCAAACAUGCUGGAGAUGGUCGCGGCAAUGUAGAUCAUCCAUUCCAUCAUCAACGACUUCGAAUGGGGUAUUGAGAGGUCCGAAGAAACGGGGAAUCGAAGAUUCCCCUCCACUCUCCCACCGAAGCCAUCUAAAUGAUAUGGAUGGCUACGAUCGCAGGACAAAAGAAAAAAAAGAAAAGAGGGGGAAGAAAAGAGAUCUUUUUUUGUUUUAUUAUUAUUUUUACUUUCUUUCUCUGUUUUUUUUUUUUUACCUGUUGAUCAAAUGAGGGAUUAGAUAAAGCAGCUCAACGAUUUCUCCUUCUUUCUGCGGUUUGGCGAUAUCUUCUCCUUUCAGCGGCUUGGGGAUGUCUCCUCCUUUCAGUAGCUCGGCAAUAUCUCCUCCUUUGAAUAUUUUGAACUUGGAAGUGUAUAACAAUCUAUCUAUCGUAUCGUCUCUGUCCAAAAGAAAAAAAUUCUCCCCGAGUUUGAUUUCGGUUCUCAUAUUUAUAAUGGGAGGGGUGGUGAGAGAUAUUUUGAGGGAUUCGAAAUUCGAAUUUGAAUUUUGAAUAGGUUGUUGGGGUUGGUUGAAAGAUAUUUGGGAUUUUGUUGAGAAUUCGAAAUUCGAAAUCGAAUUUUGAAUGGGUUGUUGGAUGGUUGGAGGGUAUUUUGGAAAUUGGUUGGAAUUCAAAAUUCGAAAUUUGAAUUUUGAAUGGGUUGUUGGAGGAUAUUUUGGGAAUUGGUUAGGAAUUCAAAAUUCGAAAUUUGAAUUUUGAAUGGGUUGUUGGAGGAUAUUUUGGAAAUUGGUUUGGGAAUUCGAAAUUCGAAAUCGAAUUUUGAAUGGGUUGUUGGAGGAUAUUUUGGUAGUUGGUUGGGAAUUCGAAAUUCAAAAUCGAAUUUUGAAUGGAUUGUUGGAGGAUAUUUUGGAAAUUGGUUGGGAAUUCGAAAUUCGAAAUCGAAUUUUGAAUGGGUUGUUGGAGGAUAUUUUGGGAAUUGGUUAGGGAUUCGAAAUUCGAAAUCGAAUUUUCAAUGGGUUGUUGGAUAAUUGAAGGAUAUUUUGGUGAGUCGGUUAGGGAUUCGAAAUUCGAAAUCGAAUUUUGAAUGGGUUGUUGGAUGGUUGAAGGAUAUUUUGGUGAGUUGGUUAGAGAUUCGAAAUUCGAAAUCAAAUUUUGAAUGGGUUGUUAGAUUGUUGAAGGAUAUUUUUGGGAGUCGGUUAGGGAUUCAAAAUUCGAAUGGAUGUUGGUUGGGGAUUCGAAAUUCAAAAUUGAAUUUUGAAUGGGUUGUGGGAUGGAUAGGUAUUCAAAAUUCGAAUGAUUGUUGGUUGAGAGAUAUUUUGGGCGUUGGUUCGAAGUUCGAAAUCGAAUUUCGAAUAGGGUUAUUAGGAUAACAGAUAUUUUCUGGGGGUUUAAAAAUUUAAAAUCGAAUUUGAAUAUGAUAUUCGAAAUUGAAUUUUCAAACGUGGGUGAAAAUGUGGGCCGUGAUUCCAUGAAUUGGGCUGAAAUUGGGCCCACUUUGAUGAAACUUGUUGGGCACAAUUAUUUAUUGGGCUGAGAUGAGGCCCGAAUUAUUGUAAUAGGCCUAAAAUUUUAAAGGGCUUUCUUGAGGCCCAUUAAUUUACAUUUAUGAAUGGGCCUAUUGUGGACUUUAAAUUGUAAUUAUUGGUCCCAAAAUUUUCUGGUUAAUAUGAGACCUAUCAAAAUUGUUUGAGUCUGAAUCUAAUCGGUUUCAAUUAUGAUUAGAAAUUUUUUUUUUUUCACUUCAAACAAUACGUUCACCCAAAAAAGGCCAGAUCUCUCUAGAUUGACAUUAGAAACCUCAUGAUGUUUUAAUAGGCAGAUCAAGAUGUAUGGAAUAAACUAGAACACUGACUAACUUGUACAUCCAUAUCGCGAUAAGAACUAGAAGCAUCAGAAACUUGUUUCAUGAACAUAAUGAGGAUAAAAAAAAAUUGGUUCUGAUAACAAGAAAGUAUUUUAAUAAUUUAAAGUAAUUUGAUUUAAGUUUUACCAAGCACACUAUUCUAACUAAGUAAUUUAGUAGCUCAAAAAUAGCCUACAACUACUGUAAUAUACCGAAACUUCGGUAAGCUAUAUCGGGCUUUAGCCAAAUUGGCCAAAGCGCUCGAAAGAAAUAGUUGGACAAGUUCCAUUUAACAUUUCAAUAAGGUUGGAAGGGUUAAAAGUGACUUCUUAAAGAGUUAGAAGGGUUUUAGCAUUGCUCGGCACAAAAGAGAAGUCGAACAAGUGCUAAACUGCAGUCUGGGCAUUUUGUACCGGUACAACAUCAGGGCAAUAUCGGUACACUUUUGUAAAACUCGAACAGCAGCUCUCGAGUUUGCCUCUGCGCGAUCGUGUUAUCGGUGACACCAUAACCUGUACCGGUACACUUUGGGUCUGACAGCAAAAAUAGUUCUGCUGCAAAUGUGAGUUUUUGGGGGGCCUAAAUGCAAUUAUAGCACCUCAUAAAACACCCCAACACCCCUCCCACCUGUUCAUAACAGCAAGCACCUUCUCCCCUCUCAUUCUCUCUUUCUCUCUCUAGAAACCCCCUCUCAAGGUGGAAAAGAGGAGAUCAAGAGGAGGAUUUGGAGAUUUUGGAGCUUUGGGAGGAUCUAGAGCUCACCUAUAAGGAGGAGCUUGUUGAGUUCAUGGGUCAAGGUAAGGUUUCUUGUAAGAUUGAUAUUAGGGUUUGGUUUUACACCCAAAAUCUUUUGGAUUUGAUCUUCUUACAAGAGUAGAAACCUUGUUGAAACCAUAGAACACAUGAAAACCAUGUUUUCUUCUCAUGCUCUCAUGGUGGAUUGCUAGGGUUUGUUCUAAAUGCCUUAGGAAUGGUUUGAGUGGCCUAGUAAUGGUUCUAGAUGAGUUUCUAGAUGAUUCUAAGCUUGUUUUAGCUUAGCAAAGAGAUCAAUCUAGCAUAUGUUGCUAAAUGACAUUGUUAAGACACCAAAAUUGGGGCUUUUGUCAUAAGUGGGUUUAAAUGUAAAUUGAACCUAUGUAAACCUAAUUGAAGGUAUUUUCAAGUCGGUUCGGCGAUUCGUCGAGCCUACGCGAAGAUAUUGAAGAAACGGUCGUUUUGGCUUCGUUUCUGCCUGGAGGGCCAAUGCGACGUCCAAAAAUCACGAGAAUGGAUCCGGAGGAUCGUAACAUCAAGUUAUAGACCUUUAAUUUCCGGAUUGUGGAUUGGUGGUCGUUUGGUGGUCGAGUGCGAGUUCGGGCCGAACCGGGCAACGGGUGCCGCGGGAGACCGAUUGCAAGUGACUACAAGCAAUCGGAAAGCGAUUUGAGGUGGGUUGUGCUCACCGAAGCGACUAGGUCGCCUUCAUGUCGAAGGAAAAUAUGGUUUCAUAUUGAUGCAUAUAGUGGUAGCUAGUAGUAAAAUAUAUGAAUGCAUGAGGUGAAUGCUAAGUAGGCUACCAAAGAAUGCAUGAUGACAUAAUGUGAAUAAUGCUAGUUUGAGAGCAUAAGAGAAAUGGCUUAUGCAUGUAAACAUUAUAAGAACAUGCUAGUCGGAAUGCAUAAUGGCAUGCUGCAGAGAAUGCUAAUUGAGAUGUGCAUGUUGUAAUAUAUGCUAGGUGAAAUGCAUAUUGAUAUAAGAUAAAAAUGCUAGAUAAUAUGCAAGUUGGCAAGUUGUAUAUUAUACUUGAUUCACAUGAGUUGAACAUAGGUCGAUAACUCUAGGUGUAUUAGAGAAUGCGACAUUGGAAAAUAAGAAUGUAUAAACUAUGAUACUCGAUGUGGACAAGUAGAGUGUCAAGUAGAUCGAGUGGCAUUGAACCUAGAGUUGUGAACCUAGGAUGGACAUGUGUGGCAUUUAACCUAGUGUUAAUAAACAUAGGUUGGACAAGAGUGGCAUUGAACCUAGUGUUAUUGAACAUAGGUUGGACAUGUGUGGCAUUUAACCUAGUGUUAAUAAACAUAGGUUGGACAAGAGUGGCAUUGAACCUAGUGUUAAAGAACAUAGGUUGAGAAUUGAAUCUAGAAUCAUGUAAACCUAGGUUACGAUAAAAGCAUUAAAUCUAGGUUCAAAUGGACCUAGGAUGGAAAGGACAUUGGACCUAGAUAGGUCGACACUAUAGGGUUAACACCAACCCUUGAGCUAUGUGAAAUGGAUUCCGAAAUCCCAUAACUUAUGGAUCACACCGAGAGGGGUGUGAGGUGUGUGUGACGAUUUCGCCGCCCAGGGCUAAACCAUUGACGAGGCGUGUGCGACGAUUUCGCUGCCGAAUGGUUAAGCUGGUUUGUGGAUUAUACUGCCGGUUGACUUGAGCCAUGGUUGGGCGUGUGCGACGAUUUCGCCGCCGUGUGGCUAAGUCAUGGAGCGCGGUAGGUUGUGGUUGGCUGAGGUGCAUGUGAGAUUUCCUUCACCUCGAGCCGGACAGAGCGCGGAUUAUCCGCAUUUGAUUGACUCAAGACCGAGUCAAGUGGCAUAGUGUGACUAAGGUAAGAGUAACCUUAGGAAAGAAUAGCUAAGAAUAAAGAAUGGCUAAGAAUAAAGAGUGGCUAAUAAGAAAGAAUUGCAAGUAGUAAAGAUUGGCUAACAAUAAAGAAUGGCAAAUGAUAGAGAGUAAAAUCAUUUAAUCUAUUUGCAUAGUUGCAUGAAUUUCAUAUUGCAUAUUGAGAGGCACAGUCAUGUGUUUUAAUAUUGCAUAAAAUACUUGUGGAUAUCUGUUGGACUAACAUGAUUGCAAUGCCUCCUUGGACCUAGUGGGUUGAGCUUUUCCCUUGGGUGGCUGUAUCCACCGGAAAUUAUGGACAAUAGUUCUCACCCCCGUGUUGUUUUUGGGGGUACAGGUUUACACGCGAGCGGCACGGCGGCGCGAGGAAAUGGCGUAGCUCCGUAGGUAGCGCCCUACCCCAGAGACUAGAGAUAGAAGUACCCCGAGUCGGCAUAGCUAGGGGUAUAAGAAUUGAAAGGAUCAAAAUGUAUCAAACUUGUAAAUAAGUAAAAGUUGUAAUAACUUGGAUUGCAUGUUUGGAAGUUAAAUGUAAUAUGUAAUUGAGAUGUAAAAGCUUGUAUGUGAAUGCUUGUAAUAGUUUAGCUGUUUAUAUUUUUGAUACUUUCUUAUGCAAUCUGUAUGUUCCUGGUUGGAACCUUUGAGUACUGUUCCUGGUUGGAACCUUUGUAUUGUAUUGAUUGCGACGCCUAGGACAUACAGAGGAAACUCUGUCCGUUCGGCGGUCUGUCGGCGUACCCGAACACAACCAAAUAGGCGGGGCACAGGGCGUGACAACUACAUACCAAAAAACUUCAGUAAGUAAAACUCUCUUACCUUUCCCUGGGAUCGAGAACAACAAGAUAUCGCCGCUACUAAAUCGCUGCUACAUUAGAGUAAAAGAUCUUUUAUUUUAAAAGCAAAACAUAAACAAAUUAAUCACUUCUUCCUCCUUAGUAGGAAAAAAAAAUAAAAAAAAUAGAGAUCUCUACGUUAAAUCACACACAAACCUAACACAAACUCUCGACAUCUAAUCUAACUUUCUCUCUACGGGGUUUAAUAUGCACUUUACUAAAUCAAUUAAUCCUACAAACACCAGUCAAAGCUCUAAAUCCUCAGAUACGAUUUUUACCCCAAAUUCUGGACCAAAAAACAAAUUCUAACCGUAGGAAAUAAAAAUUUCUCCAAAUCACUCGAAUAAAUCAGACAUUCGAGUCAUUUAUUUGGGAUUUAAUCGACUAAAAUCGCCAAAAGGAGCAAAUGCAUACGAUUUCCCGCCUAGAGGAGAUGGGGGGGACUUGUCACUUCUACUACCCCCUGACUCCUCACAACCCCCUAAAAAGCAAACGUGCUAAGCUAUUAUCAGUUUAUCUCUAUCAUCUAAAGAUACAAUCAAAGAUCAUAGGUUUUAAAGAGAAUAGAUAGUAUUAAAGUUUGCUGUUGACAAUUCAAACAGUCCCAAGGAGCUUGUACAAAGUUCUAUUGCUUAUCUCAAUGGAAAAAGAUAGCAUAGCAUUAAAUGGAUAUUAGUUUAAAUGCAACACUUCAGACGAUGUACUAACCCAAAACUUAGAAAUUUCAGUAGGCAAAAUUUAGAAUACUAACCUUCAACUCUUGCGAUCAAUCACAAAGUCUGCAUUUGGGCCAUAAAGCUGAAAGUCAAAACAGAAUCAGCAGCACUGUUUUCUCUCACGGAUACUUUUGGCACUGAAGAAAUGAAGACCAAAUAGUUACACAUGAUGCAAUUACAGUGAUCUACGUUCUGAUUUUUCAUCUAGCAUUGGAAAAGCUAUAUAAAAGUUGAAAUAGAGAUUGAUUCAAAUUAAAAAAAAAAAAUCUGACACCCCUACGCUUUUCUGAGGAAAUCCAAAACGGUAACAUGAAGAGCCCAUUUUAUUCCUACCGCCAGUUAUACUUGAUCUCUUUUUUAGUGCAAUAGUAGAGUACUUUCUACUUAACAGAUUUUUACAAGCAAGCAAACUAAUUUGGCAGAAAUUAGUUGGAUUUGAUUGCUUUUGACAUCUAAAUAGCAAGCAUAAUUUCUCAGAAACUCAAUAGCAGAGUGAAAAAACCAGCUAUAUUACUUGAUUAAAGAACACAAAAUCAAAAUUUUACUCCAAAAUUAUGUUUUCUUUCUACAAGUGCCGCCAAGUACACACUCCAAAGGAACUUGAACAGAGGCCUUUUGUACCAUUUCUCAUCUAUGGUAACAUCUCAACUUGUUUGGUGCCUCCAUUACUUUCCAAAUAACUCAAAAAAGACUAUAGCUUGACUCAAACUGGUGUUACCCUCCUAGAGAGCCAAAUUGUGAAGCUCGUAAGCACAAGGCAAGUCGUGUACGGGUGGCCCUUCUUGUUUCUUUCCAUUAUUUUUCUUGCCAAAGAAACCUGCUUGCCCACAGCAAACACAUAGGCCUUGCCUAUGCCUCCGGCACCUCGAGCCGUCCACCCGACAUGGCGGAUGCACUCGCUCAGAUCACGAGGCAAGUCGAAGAGCACCACAUGGUUCACGUUCGCAAAAUCUAUGCCUCGCGAGGCUCUGCCAGAUGUAUGUAGUCCAAUCCCAGUUAACAGAAGCAACCAAGAUAUCACAAAAAUAACAAAUGCUCUAUAAAAUUAGAUGGAAAGAAGAAAUGUGUGCAGUAAGAAAAAAAUACGUUACAGAAAGAUUUACUAUGUAUAUAGUGUAAACUGCCGGCCAUAAAAAACAUGAAACACACACACAGAAAAUAAAUAAAGAUCAAGAUAACUAGUAUAUUCCUUGACGUGAUACCUGUUUGUGCAGAUGAGGAACAUUGAAUCUACCAAUUGUGAGUUAAGAAACUCCUUAAUGUUAGCAAGGUGCAUUUCCUGUGCCAGUGCAACAUGGAAAGGCAGAAUUUUGAUGUGUGACCCUUUUCUAUCAAAUCUGUUCAACACAUUCUCAACCUUUCUGCAGGUCUCAAUCUACACAUACAACAAACAACUGUCAUUACACAACCUAUAAAGCAGGGACAUAAAAUAGGAAGCUUUUACAACCCUUUUCUUCCAUCGCGCAAUACACACCGCCGAGCCCAGUGGGAACCACCACAAAUCAUGCAUCCUGGGGAGGACCGGGUAGAGGACGACUUCGAGUGGCGCCUAGAACUUGAUUGUCCGCCCGAACCCCUCGACAGUGGCCUCACCUCUACCCGCUCACGUUCAGAAGACUCGUGCUCCUCACGCACGAAAGCCUCGCCGUGCUCUGCCGGCAACGCUCGAUCCAACACCUCCGCGAAGGUUGUGAGCUUGAAGAUUUGCACCUUCUUAUAAAUCUCUGGUCGAAGUCCAUGCAGGAACCAAUCGGCCAUAUCCUUGUCAUCCCGUACCACAUCCAGGACACAAUUCACGAUGUGGGAAAACUCCCAUUCGUAUUCCCUAACAGAGCGGUCUCUUUGCCGUAGCUUCCUGAACCUAUCCUGAAGCUUUCUCUUUUCACUAUCGGGGAAGUAAGUUGAAAACACCAAUCCUCGAAACUCAUCCCAUGCCAUAGGAGGGAGACUAGGCGAUCGAUUCCGUCGAAUGCCUUUCCACCACACCUUUGUCGACAACUUCAAACAGUGCACGGCUAUGGGCACCUUGUCCCGCUCUAAGGUGCACAGCUCCUCGAAGAGCGUUUCUAUAGAGUCAAUCCACAUCUCCAAGAUCCACGGAUCGACAUUCUCUCCAUCGAAGAUAGGCAGAUCAAAUUUCUUGAAAGCCAUGAGAGCCGCCAAAGCUCGUUCCCUCUCCGCCUCCACCUCUACGAUGUCGGGAGUGGGAUUGCCCGACCCUGACGAAAACAUCUCCGCCGUGACUCCCGGCCGUCCUUGACGAGCUGCAGCUGGUGCUGCCACCAGCUGAUCCACCGUCUCUUGGAGUCUUUUCAUCCGCUCCUCCUGGCGCAUAGCAGCCUCCUGCUGCCGCUGCACCACAUCAGCCUGUUACCUCACCACUCCAAUGUGAGUGGCCAACUGAUCACGAAGCUCCGAGUCUCCGCUUGCGUCGGUUUGCUCGGGGACACCACUUGUCCCCUCCCGCGCUGAUCUAGAUGAAGAUCGCCUACGCGGUGCCAUCAUUUCCUGAAACAAGACAACUCGAUUAAUUCUCAACCUUCUAGGUCGAGCACGAAACAAUUUAACAUUGACUCAAAUCGGGCGAAAGUCAUGCAAGGGCGUAUAUUCUCAUCACUCGAUUUCAUGUUGUUGCACGCCCAACAUGAACACCCUUGGGUUGAGAAUAAACCACACCUCGAGUCUACCUCUAAUAUCCGUCUUAGAGGUUUACAACACAACCCAAUCAAUUAACCUUUCGCCAUAAGUCGCAAGUCCUCGUCUCUUACGAGUCUUAUUCUCCUAUGGUUUUCUAUUCUAGGGUCUUCUAGGUCUGCCUAAACCAUUCCCAUUCUCUACUUUAUGCUCUGAUACCACCUUCUGUCACGCCCCGAGCCCCACGCCUAUUUGGCCGGGUUCGCACCGCCGACAGCACCGAACGGACAAGGUUUUUCCUGUACCACGGACAGAGUCUCCCCUGACCGUUCAAGGCUCAACAAACAGUACAAUACAAAAAGUUCCAAACAGGAACAUUAUUCGUACAAUGAUUGCAUAAGGAAGGUAUCAAACAACAUAACACAUCCUAUGUUAUUACAAGCAUUCCCAUUAGAUUCAUUUUUACAUCACACUCACAUAAUACAUUUUAUGACUUCCAAAUACAAUCAAGUUACUACAUCAUUUGUUUACAAGUUUUAGUACAUCUUGUUUUUUUCAUUUCCCUCUACCCCUAGGCUAUGCCGACUCGGGGUACCGCUAUCUCUGGUCUCUAGGGCAGGGCGCUAUCUAUGGAGCUACCCCCUUGCCUCGCGCCGCCGCGCCGCUCACGUGCGAACCUGUAACACCCCAAAACAACGUGGGGUGAGAACUAACUCCAUAGUUUCAAGUGGGUACGGCCACCCAAGGGAGAAGCUCGACCAAUAGGUCCAAGGAGGCACUGCAAUCAUGUUAGUCCAGAAACAUCUACAGAUAUAUAUAUAUAUCAUCAUGUAAUAUGCAACUAACAGAUAUCAUGCCUCGCAAUAUGCAAUAUGAAUAUAUGCAAUCAACUAGUAGAUCUAUUGAUUCUACGUUCAACUUUGCUAUCUUUAGCUCAUAUCAUUCAAUUCUAAGGUUUCUACUAUCUUAGGUUCUCAACUCAAGUCCAACUUUCUUCUAAGGUCUCUAUUACCUCAGCUCUUGCCUCUAUCACUAGCUUUCAAGGUUUCUACUACCUCUAUCAAGCUAGCCACCCGACUCGGCCUCGAGUCAAUCAUCCACGGAUAGUUCGCGCACUGGCUGCACCUCAGCCUGGCUGCCGUCACAGCCUACCGCACCUCUGACUUAGCCAUCUUGCGGUGAACUCAUCGCAUCUCACCCAACAACGACUCAAGUCAUGACUUAGCCAUCUGGCAUCGAACUUAUCUCAUCUCACCCAACAAUGGUUCAAGUCAUGUCUUAGUCAUCUGGCGGCGAACUCAUCGCCCUUACCCAGCAAUGGUUCAAGUCAAUCUAGGCGGCAUCAUUCAAUAAGCUAAAUGGGCGAGGAGAACCACACAUACCCAUUUCAAUCUUAUUCUCAUGGCAUCCCGGGCGAGGAGAACCACACAUACCCGUUGAAUCACUGCCAGGUGAGGAGAACUACACAUACCUGCAGUUAUGAUUCGCUUGCCAUGUAGCACACUGGACCGUUGCAAAUUGCGAGGUUCGAGUGUUUGAUUUGUAUUCCAAGCUUUUCCACACUUGGUGGAGGGCCGUCGAUGGUACACCGGCCUAAAAGUUCGAUCUCGAGAGUUCUGGCAGAGUCCUGAGAAUUUUUACUCUCGGGGACCGGUCCCUGAUAGGAGAGACCGGUCCCCCAGUGAACAGUGCUGCGCAGCCGGCCAGGUAACCGGUCCCUGGCAGUCGAGACCGGUCCCCGAGCGCGUCUUCGCGGGGAGAGACCGGUCCCGUGCANCUACGAACGUGUCUCACGUCUCGUCUCUACUCUCACCGCCUGCGAUACCUGAAAAAUGGUGGGGGAGGUGAGAACAUGUAAACAUGUCUCCCCUCCCAGUGGGUACCGCAAGCCGACGAAGGCGAGAAGUACUCACCGGAUCAGGAAGAGAUAAGCAACAAUAUGGUAAACAAAUAUACAUGCCGAUACGAAGAAACUACAGUAGCUAUAACAGAUAAAUGAGCAAUAAACAAAACUGCUACUGUAAGGAAUGCAAUGCUGAGUAUGCCUCAAGGUAACCAAACCAAAACUGUACCCAAUCUGGUGCCUACUAUAUUGGUCUGCAGACCUCAAGCGCUGCCUAUCACUGAUCUUUACCGACCUGAUUCACCCGCCCCACAGGACGACCCAUCCGGAUAAGCACACCUCCGGUCGGUGGCCAAACUGACCCGGUGUCGUGAAUACCCCCAAGUGUUGUGACUAAGUCAUGCUGGUACGCUCAAUACAAAAACCGGCUGAAGCCGGUGCCUAAGCAGAAGCCAGAAACAAGGGCGUACAACGCCGAAUCUCGAUCAACCAGAUCGAAACACAUGACGAGAGAGUCGAUGUGUUGCCUGGACCCAAAGUCCACAGAGUCCAACCGACCAGCAAGGUCACUGAUACGAAGUACGAGAACCGACCAACCAGGUCAACAGAUACGGAAUGCAACAACCGACCAACCAUGUCAACAGAUACGAAAUGCAACAACCGACCAACCAGGUCAACAGAUACGCAUAUAGAUAGAACAACUCUACUCCUACUCAGGAUACUAAGCUUGCAAACAACGAGCAGAGUAUAAUGGAAUAACAUGGGUGCAAGGCUCAAUAUAUACUAUGCAAUAGUAACAACAGAAGAGUAAGGGUAAGAAACCAUCACCAAGCGUGCACCACUGUACCGACUUUGGAUCGAAGUACCCACCUAUACUAGUGUCGCACCUGUCUCCCAACCGUACGCGAUCAUCAACCGAACCUACGAAGGUCCACCAGGUCAGUAACCAACCCACUAACCCAAAGUACGAGACUCGCAAACCCCCACACAAGUCUCCGAAUCGGUUUCCCAAAACUGAUCACCGUAACUCACCAGAGGUCCCGAAAACCACACGGAGACGCCGUUGGGACCCACUAAGUGACCCGAAACUCACCGACUCGUGUCACGAGUCACCCGCUGCCACAAAACACUCUGAUUUGGAUGUCUUGGCAGCAAACAAAAGAUAACAUAACCAAACAAUUGUCGUCGGAUAAUUGUUCGAAUCCGGGUUCCAGGAAGUGUCUAUUUUGACACUGGAACCCACUGUCGCUCACCCGUCAUAAUUGAACCCACAAAAUGAUGAUGGUGACCAGCCAACAAGGCUCAUCGACAAAUCAUAGGACAACCAAACCACGUCGGAAGAAAUCCGAAUCGAAUCCGCGUUCUUUCGGCGAAUUUCGCCAAAAAACGCACCGAAAUCGACUCAUCGAUUUCCGCGAAGGCUAUCGGAUCAUGGACAAUCAGUCCAUAGGUCACCAAACACACAUACACACUACCCACAGUAGCCACAAGGUGCACAAAUGCAUAAAAGCCCCUCAAUUUACAUAAAAUCCUAUCAUUUUAUGUAAAUCGGGCGAUUAAGUGGCUCGUUCACGCAAACCGAGAACUUCUAAGUUCUGCCGAGACACGUACUGCUUGGUCUCGACGUACCGGAGGCCGUGCUCAUGAUUCGGAGCACAACAGCUCACUGUGGGAAGCGCGGGAGCAACCCGAAGGUUUAGCGAACAGCGCGCAGUCGGGGAAAAACGCGCCGAACAGAACUAACUGGACUUCGUUGAUCCAAAGUGAUGUGAGCACUGUGAUCGAAACUGACCAACAAUCACCAUGCUCACCUCCGAAGGCAUCGGAACAGCCUCGGAUCGCCGGAACAACGUGCGCAAACACCAAACAGUAGCCAAACAGGCUCAAACGGAGCAACACCGCCGAAACAGCCAAACGGAGUCUCCCCGACAAAAUCUAAGGUGAGCACGAUGAUCCAAAAUUUUCCAUGAUCAUCGUGCUCCCUUCCGGAGAGAUCGGGGAGCCUCGGAUAGCUCAUAACAGUAAACCUACCAAGAAAAACCCUAUUUCGGGCUUGGCCGGAGCAGGCUUGCUCCGGCCGGCUUCCGGCGGCACGGGAAGGUGCGCGCGGGCCAGAAGUGGGUGCGGGGGAGGGAAGGAGCAAGGUGCUCACCACAGAUGGUAGCGAGGAGUGGCGGCGGCGACGGUGGAGCAAGCCAAGCCCCGCACGAGUUGAGCUCGGGUACCACGGCUGCUGCGACCACUGCGGCGGCUGGGGCAAGUCGGGGAUGACGGUGGGGGGUGCCCAGUGGCCGGAGGAGUGCCUCGGGUGCGGCCCCGAGCGGCGGCGUCGCGAGGAGGGAGCCGCGAUCAAACCUCGGCCUGGCUCGGCCUGGUAGGCUGCAACGAGCACGGGCGGCGGCGGCGGCCACUAGCAACGCCGGUGGCAGCGCGCGUGGGUCUCCGGGGCUCCAGGGGAGGUGGCCGGGAUGGUCCAGCCGGCGGCAG
RNAcentral lists this long non-coding RNA (28589 nucleotides) under Ananas comosus (pineapple). RNAcentral's name for it is "long non-coding RNA (ACOM_LNC032639)". Lineage: Eukaryota; Viridiplantae; Streptophyta; Magnoliopsida; Poales; Bromeliaceae. The record is from RNAcentral.